UUUUCCCCGGGGCAUCUAGCAUAUCAAUAAGCGGAGGAAAAGAAACCAACAGGGAUUACCUCAGUAACGGCGAGUGAAGCGGUAAUAGCUCAAAUUUGAAAUCUGGCUUCGGUCCGAGUUGUAAUUUGUAGAAGAUGCUUCGGGUGUGGCUCCGGUCUAAGUUCCUUGGAACAGGACGUCAUAGAGGGUGAGAAUCCCGUAUGUGACUGGAUGCCUCCGCCUAUGUGAAGCUCUUUCGACGAGUCGAGUUGUUUGGGAAUGCAGCUCAAAAUGGGUGGUAUAUUUCAUCUAAAGCUAAAUAUUGGCCAGAGACCGAUAGCGCACAAGUAGAGUGAUCGAAAGAUGAAAAGCACUUUGGAAAGAGAGUUAAACAGUACGUGAAAUUGUUGAAAGGGAAGCGUUUGCAAUCAGACUUGCACGUUGCCGAUCAUCUGGUGUUCUCACCAGUGCACUCGGUUUCGUUCAGGCCAGCAUCGGUUUGGGUGGUUGGAUAAAGGCCUUGGGAAUGUAGCUUCUUUCGGGGAGUGUUAUAGCCCUCGGUGCAAUGCAGCCUACCUGGACCGAGGACCGCGCUUCGGCUAGGAUGCUGGCGUAAUGAUUGUAAACGACCCGUCUUGAAACACGGACCAAGGAGUCUAACAUCUAUGCGAGUAUUUGGGUGUUAAACCCAUAUGCGUAAUUAACGUGAACGGAGGUAAGAGCCCUUAAGGGUGCAUUAUCGACCGGUCCUGAUGUCUUCGGAAGGAUCUGAGUAAGAGCAUAGCUGUUGGGACCCGAAAGAUGGUGAACUAUGCCUGAAUAGGGUGAAGCCAGAGGAAACUCUGGUGGAGGCUCGCAGCGGUUCUGACGUGCAAAUCGAUCGUCAAAUUUGGGUAUAGGGGCGAAAGACUAAUCGAACCAUCUAGUAGCUGGUUCCUGCCGAGCUCUCCCCCUCUGAGAGAAAA
RNAcentral lists this ribosomal RNA (944 nucleotides) under Nagrajchalara haituoshanensis. RNAcentral's name for it is "partial large subunit ribosomal RNA". It matches the Rfam family "Eukaryotic large subunit ribosomal RNA", at positions 24 to 985 of the family's 3401-position model. The record is from RNAcentral. Lineage: Eukaryota; Fungi; Ascomycota; Leotiomycetes; Helotiales.